This 98-nucleotide transfer RNA is filed under the name Hapsidospora chrysogenum ATCC 11550. RNAcentral describes it as "Acremonium chrysogenum ATCC 11550 tRNA". It matches the Rfam family "tRNA". From Rfam's summary of the family: Transfer RNA (tRNA) molecules are approximately 80 nucleotides in length. The record is from Rfam by way of RNAcentral. Lineage: Eukaryota; Fungi; Ascomycota; Sordariomycetes; Hypocreales; Bionectriaceae.
GCCAAAAUGGCCGAGUGGUCUCAAGGCGUUGGUUUUAAGCUUCACGCUUCUAAUCACCAAUAUCGAAAGAUUCCAGGGUUCGAAUCCCUGUUUUGGCA